GGUGGCUCAGUGGUAGAGCGCUUGCCUUGAAUGCGUGAGGCCCUGGGUUCGAUUCCUCAGCACCA
Non-coding RNA from Dipodomys ordii (Ord's kangaroo rat), 65 nucleotides. NCBI's taxonomy places the organism in Eukaryota, Metazoa, Chordata, Mammalia, Rodentia, Heteromyidae. The record is from Rfam.